Molecule: small nucleolar RNA, 108 nt
Filed under: Gossypium barbadense (sea-island cotton)
Lineage: Eukaryota; Viridiplantae; Streptophyta; Magnoliopsida; Malvales; Malvaceae
Also listed under: 1 other name
Description: Plant small nucleolar RNA R71
Rfam family: Plant small nucleolar RNA R71
About the family: R71 is a member of the C/D box family of snoRNAs containing the C (UGAUGA) and D (CUGA) box motifs. Multiple nearly identical copies of this snoRNA have been identified in Arabidopsis, and it is thought to function as a 2'-O-ribose methylation guide for 18S ribosomal RNA.
Source: Rfam by way of RNAcentral
AAUCCAUGGUGUGGGCACUUCUAAAUUAGCAUCUUAAAACGGUCCCAUGCUUUGUAAAAGCUUUCCCCCUCUAAUUAUUUAAACAUAAAAAAUUUCCCUUCUUAGUUG